GCGGCAAACGGGUGAGUAAUAUCUGGGAAUCUACCCAAAAGAGGGGGAUAACUACUAGAAAUGGUAGCUAAUACCGCAUAAUGUUAAAAAACCAAAGUGGGGGACCUUUUUAAGGCCUCAUGCUUUUGGAUGAGCCCAGACGAGAUUAGCUUGUUGGUAAGGUAAAAGCUUACCAAGGCUACGAUCUCUAGCUGGUCUGAGAGGAUAACCAGCCACACUGGAACUGAGACACGGUCCAGACUCCUACGGGAGGCAGCAGUGGGGAAUAUUGCACAAUGGGCGAAAGCCUGAUGCAGCUAUGCCGCGUGUAUGAAGAAGGCCUUAGGGUUGUAAAGUACUUUCAGCGGGGAGGAAAAAAAUAAAACUAAUAAUUUUAU
Molecule: ribosomal RNA, 377 nt
Filed under: Aphis caliginosa
Lineage: Eukaryota; Metazoa; Arthropoda; Insecta; Hemiptera; Aphididae
Description: partial 16S ribosomal RNA
Rfam family: Bacterial small subunit ribosomal RNA
Source: RNAcentral